UGUUUGGCAUUGCCUUAAGAAAGCUGUAAAG
This 31-nucleotide non-coding RNA is filed under the name Mus musculus (house mouse). The record is from RNAcentral. Lineage: Eukaryota; Metazoa; Chordata; Mammalia; Rodentia; Muridae.